UCAGAGUUUAAAUAAUGAACAUAGCAAUACCACCAAAGAAACAUUCAUUAAAUAUCAAUAUAAAAUAAAGUGGAAGAAAAAGAGAAAAACAGCAAGCUGCUGAUUGCAGUGUUUGCAACCGAGACUCUGUUCUGCAAACCCUGGGGGAUCAGCGUGGAUUGAGCUAUUACUAGAGGUUGGGGUUAAACACGGUAGGCUAUAGACUUUCUGGGGGAGAAACCAGUCAAUUUCUAUUCUGAAAACCUGGCACUGCCUAAGAAAAUCCAAACCCUUCAAACAGAAGCUUCGCAAGAGUGUAGUUAAUGGCAUAAAAGAGUGCUCAGAAACUCACCCACAGAGACUUUCUGAUAGCUGAUGCCAGGAACAGCAAAAAGCAGAAUGUCCAGUUAGGGAUAGUUAACCAAGCCCCUCUCAAUUCUUCUUCUUGAGGCUAUCCUCUCCUCACUGGUCCCCAUUUUAUAAUCAUGCUCAAGGAGCCUAGGCUUCUCUUCUUCUCUUACAGCAUGUUUAAUAUCACUACUUUAUCCAUUCUGUACUGUUGCAGGCUGAAGGUGACAUUACACUUAGAGGGAUCCACAGAUUCAAGAGGCUGCUUGGGGAGGGCAGCACAGUGAAGUACAAGGACUUUGACAUCAGAGAGGCCUGGAUUCAAGUCCCAAUUUCUGUGUGUGGUAACCAGUCUGCAAGACAGCCUGUGAUGGUUCCUGCCUCCUCGUAUUCAUGUCCUUCUUAGUUCCCUUGCGCAUUGAAUCAGGGCUGGCUCUGGGUGACCAAUAGAAUGUGGAGGAAGUGAUGGGGUGUGAAUUCCGAGGCUAGGUCACAAAAGGCAUUGUAUCUUCCACCUCUUAGAUCUCUCUCUCUGCGGAAGCCAGCCACCGCUCUCCAAGGACUCUCGAGCAGCUCCAUCUACAGAUUCACAUGGAGAAGAAUUAAGGGUUCCUGCCAAUCACCAGCACCACUUUGCCAGCCUUGUAAGUGGGCCACCUUGGAAUUGGAGCCUCCAGUUCCUACUGACAUCUGACUGCAACAUCAUGAGAGACCCUGAGUUUGAACCACCCAGCUGAGCUGCUUCUGAGCUAACCCACUGAAACCGUGAAAGUACCUGAAUGAAACAACACCCAGUAGCCACUAGCACACCUAGCUCCCAGAUCUGUUUUUGAUGCCAUUCUUCAGUAAAAGGAAGCAAGGCUGCUUGGAGAAAUUGCUAUCAAGGACUGGGGUAGAAAAUAUACAAGAUGAAAUUGGAGCAUCUUGUAGUGCUUGAAAACAGUUGGCAUCUGUGUGAAGAUGUGAAUGGAGGAGGCAGAGUAGGCAGUGAGUGCCGCAGCCACAGCUUGUGUUCUCUGCAGCCCUGGCACAGAAGAUAGGAACACUCAUGGGGGAUGCGGCCACUGUGAUGUCUUCCCACACAAGAAGUGCCAAGUGCUUUUCUCAUGCUUUUCUGGAUUGUCCCAUGGUGGACGAGUCAGCAGGAGUGAGAUGGAGCAGCACAGUAGAGGGGUGUGCCACCUCUUUGAUCCAGCAAGUGGGAAGAACAGUCCCGGCCUCUUUGCACACAAGACCGUGAUACCAAUGCACCAUCACAGGCCCCACAGGGGAGCUGUCCGCUUCCCCACACAGCUGCUAGGGGCUCUUUUGCAUGUUCCCAACCUUUCCUGCCUUUAUCUGAUAUUCGUUCCUUAGAUCCUGGGAUGAGGAGGUGGACCAGCAGAAGGUGGGCUUGUGAAGGCAGCCCGGGGUCCAAAUCCUCCUGGCUCUUCAGCUUAGCGGGUUAGUUAACAUUCAGAAGCCUUCAUCUCCCAUCUGCAAAAUGGGCAUGUCCAACUCAGAAGCUGCCUUGAAGAAAGGGUCUACCCAGCAUGGUGCGUGGAGCCUAAGCAGUCAGUACUUCAGGACUUCACCCGGCCCCUUUCCAAUAACUGCUGCUGUCGCCCUCACAGGAUGUCACCUUCAGCGUCUGAAAGCUGGGUUUGAUGCGUCUGGAAAGGCGUCCCUGACAGGCGUCGUUGCCAGGAGCCCCUAGUGCCACCAGCAGCCAGCAGGGGAGGGCGUCCUCUGCCCGCUCACUUCUGACCCUUCUCUCGUUGCACCCGGAACAUGGUGCAGCUGGGAGCAGCCUGGGCUGCGCGGAAGGCUCAGAUUUGGGGACGGCCCUUGCCAGUGACUGUGAGCUGGGGUGUCUUGGAAACUCCCAGUCUCAGCUUCUCCAUUUAUAAGAUGAGAAUGAUCAUACCAGACUCAGGCAAGGUUGUUUGUGCAUUAGUGAAAUCAGACGUAUUAAAUAAAGUACCACAUUGAUCGUGGAGUUGUUGAAUAACCAAGAACACGCCUAUCUGUCUCCAAAAAAUAAAUGUUGAAAAUGAUGAGGGCGUGGCUCUACGUUGGGAAGGGAAAUAGGGUGCUUGGAUGAGAGAAUCCUGAGGCAUGGGACAGUGGAGGGAUCCAGGAUAGUUCCAUAAGAAAAUGUGCUUGCACUAUCGUUUCUUUGCAGAGGCUCUUGUGUGCUGGGAGGCUGGCUGGGAUGGGGAGUUGGUGGCAGAGAAUAGUGUCUGUUUUCUUCCUGGUAGCUGGAGAGCUCUGCGACAGAGGACUGAGGUCAUUAGGAACAAGCGGGCAGGUAGGGACAGGCGUUGGAGUGGACUAGCCCUGGUUCCCCUGAAGCUCUCUGGGGUGGAGGUGAAGGAGCUUCUAGGGCAAAGUUUGCCAGUUAAGGAGGAGACACUGUUUGGGCUGCUCCCCGAAAUGGAGAACUUUUGUGUGUGCCUGGAGUGUUUCUAUUUGAGAAAAACUAUUUGAGAGGUGGGAAGGUGAAUUAUUUACCAGUAAGUUUAUCCUUCUCUCCUCAGAUUCUGCAGAACUUGCAGACCCAUAAACAAAUUAGAAAUUGCUUUUCUCCUCUUGCUUAACCUAAAUUUCUUUGUGGAAGCUGAAGGAAAAUAUGAGUAAUUUUCUAACAUAUUCAGUUACAGAGACAGCAAAGAGAAAUAUUCAAGAAAAAAAAAAAACAAACCCUGAGGUGCUACUGACUUCGUGUAUGUCUUAGCUGUAGACAGAAUUGGGAUUUCCUAAUAUGGGUUUGUUCCAGUACAGCCCCUCAGAAAGAUUUUCAUCAGCAAAACACACAUUGGAGGACCAGCUGCUGUGCAGUUGUCUCUUUUAAACCAUUUUCUCACUUCAUUGCUAAUUUUCCCAGCACCUUUCUUCUAACAGUUCUACAUUUUUGAUCUGCAAACAACCUGAGAUUAUUUCUUUCCCUCUUGGUAAAUAAAAGAAAUUUAAAGUAGAUUCUAGAAUGGGUUAGACUGUUUUAUUCCAGAUCCCUCAAAAAGAAGGGAUAAAUACUUCUUUAAAAGAAUCCCUUUAAAAGAAGGGAUAAAGUUUAAGCCAUAAAUACAAUAAAUGGUGAACUGCCUGGUUAACUGAGGGCUGAUUCCCGGAGACGCAACCAGGGGGAGCUUCCUGAGCAAGGUAGCUACUCCCUGCCAAGGUAACCACAGCUUUCUAACAAUAAGUAAAAUGUUUCUACUCAUAUCAUAGGGACCCUACAACAACAUGGCCCUUUUCUCUCUGCCAUGCAAAAAAGCAUCAAGAAAGUAAGAAGGGGCAUUUUUGAGAACAAACUAGAAAUCUUAGCAUCAUGUCUUCUCUCUAAUUAUGUUGGAAACAGGCUUUGAAAAAGAAAAAAACUGAGGAGAAGAUCACUAAAUAGAAUUCAAUAAAAAUGGCUUUUGAUAUUCUGUAGCUUGAAAGCAUUUGUAUUGGGUUUAUGUUCUCAUGGUUUUUGUUUCAAAGAGUUUAAGGUAAAUUUGAAUGUCCCAUUCCUCUGAGAACUCAGAGAAAGCCAGGUUGAUUAAGAAGUAAUUAAGAGGCUGGG
Molecule: long non-coding RNA, 3874 nt
Filed under: Homo sapiens (human)
Lineage: Eukaryota; Metazoa; Chordata; Mammalia; Primates; Hominidae
Description: HSALNT0263813
Source: RNAcentral